GGUUCCUGUCCAACGUUAAUCGGGGCAGGGUGAGUCGACCCCUAAGGCGAGGCCGAAAGGCGUAGUCGAUGGGAAACAGGUUAAUAUUCCUGUGCUUGGUGUUACUGCGAAGGGGGGACGGAGAAGGCUAUGUUGGCCGGGCGACGGUUGUCCCGGUUUAAGCGUGUAGGCUGGUUUUCCAGGCAAAUCCGGAAAAUCAAGGCUGAGGCGUGAUGACGAGGCACUACGGUGCUGAAGCAACAAAUGCCCUGCUUCCAGGAAAAGCCUCUAAGCAUCAGGUAACAUCAAAUCGUACCCCAAACCGACACAGGUGGUCAGGUAGAGAAUACCAAGGCGCUUGAGAGAACUCGGGUGAAGGAACUAGGCAAAAUGGUGCCGUAACUUCGGGAGAAGGCACGCUGAUAUGUAGGUGAAGUCCCUCGCGGAUGGAGCUGAAAUCAGUCGAAGAUACCAGCUGGCUGCAACUGUUUAUUAAAAACACAGCACUGUGCAAACACGAAAGUGGACGUAUACGGUGUGACGCCUGCCCGGUGCCGGAAGGUUAAUUGAUGGGGUCAGCGCAAGCGAAGCUCUUGAUCGAAGCCCCGGUAAACGGCGGCCGUAACUAUAACGGUCCUAAGGUAGCGAAAUUCCUUGUCGGGUAAGUUCCGACCUGCACGAAUGGCGUAAUGAUGGCCAGGCUGUCUCCACCCGAGACUCAGUGAAAUUGAACUCGCUGUGAAGAUGCAGUGUACCCGCGGCAAGACGGAAAGACCCCGUGAACCUUUACUAUAGCUUGACACUGAACAUUGAGCCUUGAUGUGUAGGAUAGGUGGGAGGCUUUGAAGUGUGGACGCCAGUCUGCAUGGAGCCGACCUUGAAAUACCACCCUUUAAUGUUUGAUGUUCUAACGUGGACCCGUAAUCCGGGUUGCGGACAGUGUCUGGUGGGUAGUUUGACUGGGGCGGUCUCCUCCUAAAGAGUAACGGAGGAGCACGAAGGUUGGCUAAUCCUGGUCGGACAUCAGGAGGUUAGUGCAAUGGCAUAAGCCAGCUUGACUGCGAGCGUGACGGCGCGAGCAGGUGCGAAAGCAGGUCAUAGUGAUCCGGUGGUUCUGAAUGGAAGGGCCAUCGCUCAACGGAUAAAAGGUACUCCGGGGAUAACAGGCUGAUACCGCCCAAGAGUUCAUAUCGACGGCGGUGUUUGGCACCUCGAUGUCGGCUCAUCACAUCCUGGGGCUGAAGUAGGUCCCAAGGGUAUGGCUGUUCGCCAUUUAAAGUGGUACGCGAGCUGGGUUUAGAACGUCGUGAGACAGUUCGGUCCCUAUCUGCCGUGGGCGCUGGAGAACUGAGGGGGGCUGCUCCUAGUACGAGAGGACCGGAGUGGACGCAUCACUGGUGUUCGGGUUGUCAUGCCAAUGGCACUGCCCGGUAGCUAAAUGCGGAAGAGAUAAGUGCUGAAAGCAUCUAAGCACGAAACUUGCCCCGAGAUGAGUUCUCCCUGACUCCUUGAGAGUCCUGAAGGAACGUUGAAGACGACGACGUUGAUAGGCCGGGUGUGUAAGCGCAGCGAUGCGUUGAGCUAACCGGUACUAAUGAACCGUGAGG
RNAcentral lists this ribosomal RNA (1586 nucleotides) under Escherichia coli. RNAcentral's name for it is "partial 23S ribosomal RNA". It matches the Rfam family "Bacterial large subunit ribosomal RNA", at positions 1350 to 2915 of the family's 2925-position model. Lineage: Bacteria; Pseudomonadati; Pseudomonadota; Gammaproteobacteria; Enterobacterales; Enterobacteriaceae. The record is from RNAcentral.